GAUGAACGCUGGCGGCGUGCCUAAUACAUGCAAGUCGAGCGAACAGAUGAGGAGCUUGCUCCUCUGACGUUAGCGGCGGACGGGUGAGUAACACGUGGAUAACCUACCUAUAAGACUGGGAUAACUUCGGGAAACCGGAGCUAAUACCGGAUAAUAUAUUGAACCGCAUGGUUCAAUAGUGAAAUACGGUUUUGCUGUCACUUAUAGAUGGAUCCGCGCCGCAUUAGCUAGUUGGUAAGGUAACGGCUUACCAAGGCAACGAUGCGUAGCCGACCUGAGAGGGUGAUCGGCCACACUGGAACUGCGAAACGGUCCAGACUCCUACGGGAGGCAGCAGUAGGGAAUCUUCCGCAAUGGGCGAAAGCCUGACGGAGCAAGGCAGCGUGAGUGAUGAUGGUCUUCGGAUCGUAAAACUCUGUUAUUAGGGAAGAACAAAUGUGUAAGUACCUAUGCACGUCUUGACGGUACCUAAUAAGAAAGCCACGGCUAACUACGUG
RNAcentral lists this ribosomal RNA (497 nucleotides) under uncultured bacterium. RNAcentral describes it as "partial 16S ribosomal RNA". It matches the Rfam family "Bacterial small subunit ribosomal RNA", at positions 28 to 507 of the family's 1533-position model. The record is from RNAcentral.